CCUACGGGAGGCUGCAGGGGGGAAUAUUGCACAAUGGGCGAAAGCCUGAUGCAGCGACGCCGCGUGAGCGAAGAAGGCCUUCGGGUCGUAAAGCUCUGUUCUAUGGGAAGAAAAAUGACGGUACCAUAGGAGGAAGCCCCGGCUAACUACGUGCCAGCAGCCGCGGUAAUACGUAGGGGGCGAGCGUUGUCCGGAAUGACUGGGCGUAAAGGGUACGUAGGCGGCUAUAUAAGUCAGAUGUGAAAGGCAUAGGCUUAACCUGUGUAAGCAUUUGAAACUGUCUAUCUUGAGUCAAGGGGAGGAAAGUGGAAUUCGUGAUGUAGCGGUGAAAUGCGUAGGUAUCAGGAGGAAUACCAGUGGCGACGGCGACUUUCUGGAGUUAGACUGACGCUGCGGUACGAAAGCGUGGGGGGCAAACAGGAUUAGAUACCCCUGUAGUC
Molecule: ribosomal RNA, 440 nt
Filed under: uncultured bacterium
Lineage: Bacteria
Description: bacterial SSU rRNA
Rfam family: Bacterial small subunit ribosomal RNA
Source: RNAcentral